RNAcentral lists this ribosomal RNA (328 nucleotides) under Listeria monocytogenes. RNAcentral describes it as "bacterial SSU rRNA". It matches the Rfam family "Bacterial small subunit ribosomal RNA", at positions 1 to 317 of the family's 1533-position model. The record is from RNAcentral. Lineage: Bacteria; Bacillati; Bacillota; Bacilli; Caryophanales; Listeriaceae.
UUUAAAGAGAGUUUGAUCCUGGCUCAGGACGAACGCUGGCGGCGUGCCUAAUACAUGCAAGUCGAACGAACGGAGGAAGAGCUUGCUCUUCCAAAGUUAGUGGCGGACGGGUGAGUAACACGUGGGCAACCUGCCUGUAAGUUGGGGAUAACUCCGGGAAACCGGGGCUAAUACCGAAUGAUAAAGUGUGACGCAUGCCAUGCUUUUGAAAGAUGGUUUCGGCUAUCGCUUACAGAUGGGCCCGCGGUGCAUUAGCUAGUUGGUAGGGUAAUGGCCUACCAAGGCAACGAUGCAUAGCCGACCUGAGAGGGUGAUCGGCCACACUGGG